RNAcentral lists this ribosomal RNA (512 nucleotides) under uncultured bacterium. Its description in RNAcentral is "bacterial SSU rRNA". It matches the Rfam family "Bacterial small subunit ribosomal RNA", at positions 8 to 518 of the family's 1533-position model. The record is from RNAcentral.
AAGGUUCGAUUCUGGCUCAGGACAACGCUGGCGGCGUGCUUAACACAUGCAAGUCGAACGAGGAUUACAUUGGAAGGGCUUGGCCUGGAAGAUGAAUUCGAGUGGCGGACGGGUGAGUAACGCGUGAACAAUCUGUCCCGGACAGGGGAAUAACACUUGGAAACAGGUGCUAAUACCGCAUAAGACCACGCCCUCGCAUGGGGGAGGGGUAAAAGGAGCAAUCCGGUUCGGGGUGAGUUCGCGUCCGAUUAGAUAGUUGGUGAGGUAACGGCCCACCAAGUCGACGAUCGGUAGCCGACCUGAGAGGGUGAUCGGCCACAUUGGAACUGAGAGACGGUCCAAACUCCUACGGGAGGCAGCAGUGGGGAAUAUUGGGCAAUGGGCGAAAGCCCUGACCCAGCAACGCCGCGUGAGUGAAGAAGGCUUUCGGGUUGUAAAGCUCUGUUAUAGGGGACGAAGGAAGUGACGGUACCCUAUAAGGAAGCCCCGGCUAACUACGUGCCAGCCGCUGC